GUGACAUUGUUCAACGGCCGCGGUAUCCUAACCGUGCGAAGGUAGCGUAAUCACUUGUUCUUUAAAUGAGGACUAGUAUGAAAGGCAUCACGAGAGUCAUACUGUCUCCUUUCUCUAAUCAGUGAAACUAAUCCCCCCGUGAAGAAGCGGGGAUAGAAAUAUAAGACGAGAAGACCCUAUGGAGCUUUAAACAUAUAAUAUAUGCCCUUUAGCUUCAAAUUUCAGAAAAAUCUCUUAUAUUGGUAUAAUAACUAAUAGUUUUUGGUUGGGGUGACCACGGAAUAAAAAACAACUUCCACAAUGAAAGACUCUCCUUCACUAAGUUAAGGACUACAGCCCUAUACAUCAAUAAAUUGACAUAAUUGACCCA
RNAcentral lists this ribosomal RNA (370 nucleotides) under Adenomera hylaedactyla (Napo tropical bullfrog). Its description in RNAcentral is "partial 16S ribosomal RNA". It matches the Rfam family "Bacterial large subunit ribosomal RNA", at positions 1914 to 2422 of the family's 2925-position model. Lineage: Eukaryota; Metazoa; Chordata; Amphibia; Anura; Leptodactylidae. The record is from RNAcentral.